Fukomys damarensis (Damara mole-rat) is the source of this 268-nucleotide long non-coding RNA. RefSeq lists it as uncharacterized. The record is from RefSeq and is a predicted model, not a curated record. NCBI's taxonomy places the organism in Eukaryota, Metazoa, Chordata, Mammalia, Rodentia, Bathyergidae. The transcript has 3 exons.
UGUUUUGAUAAACAUGCACUGAACAUUCUCAGGGUAGGAAUACAGAGAUGGGUCAGACAAAGAGCUGAACUCAAAGACCCUACAUCCUACAGGAGAAGAGAUGGAAACUGCAUUUGCUAACAUAUAAAAGAAGGAAAACUGCAGGGUCAUCGCCUUGACAGACUGGAAGGGAGUCCCAGAGAAGGGUGUCUGCUGGGUGUCCGGUAUCUACAUCUCCCUUUUGCUUAGUCACCUGUAUCCAUGACAAGCGCCUAAGGGUCUUAGACUA